ACACUUCCCAGAUUUCCUGUGCAGUUUGAGCAGCUUUGACCCUACGCUGGAUCCUAUGAAACCUAGGAACUAUGAAACUAUCCUCGUCUGGCUCCCGUGCUUGAAUCACUUCUGCCUGAGACUUGGACAUCUGCUUCUAACCCACUGCAAGAAAAACUCCAACUUCCAUAAGUCUUCUUGGAGUGAUUCAUAUUGUUCAACCUGCAUCCCCUGCCAGUUCUCGAGCUGUCGGGUACCAAAAGAUGUGUUUCCUCCAUAGGAGAAAACACGUCUUCUCAUUCUGCCCUUGUGACGUGCUUUUUACAUCCAUGGUGAAAAAAGCAGCCGGAUGGUCCAGGGUCUCUGCCGAAGCCUUCUCGCUGGCAUCCCUGCUUUUUCUGCAUUGCGGAUCCCCCUUGCGCUCCUUUCAGCGAAAGCUUCCCCAACACAUUUUCAUCUGGACAAAGACCAUCGGCCGUCGCUUUGGGAAUAUCCCCGUGAAUGAGGAGGAGACGCUCGCGUACUUCAUGUACAUGGUGAAGAACAACAAGAGCAGGCAGGACCAGAAAUCGGAAGGCAGCAAGCAGCUGGAAUGAAAACUAGAUGGACUUUGGACAAGAAGAAGUGAGGUGUUGAAAAAGCAGACAUGCCACGCGCUAAGGACAACUGCACUGGAAGGACAGGAAAGCAUGCCCUCCUGCAUUUUCCAUUUAUAAGGGAAUACCGUGCGUGUGUAGUAAGUAUUUAUAAUGCUUCCUUGGACCAGAUGACUCCUUCCAGCCCCACUGUGAUCCCUGUGAAAGCGUGGCAGAGGCGGUAGCACAGCGACUAGGAGCAUCCUCACACUGCACGUGUGCAAGGCCUUUCCAACCAGUAUCAGCUGCCAGGGUCCUAGCAGAUGUGCUGAGCAGCGUGUCCUGCACCCCCCUCCUUGCCUGGACGCCCACCGGGAGCAGUGCUGGCUUGGCAGCUGCCAAAGCCCCCGUUCCCUGCCGUUCUCCCUCGUGCCGUACGGGGACAGCAUUCCCCCAGUAACGCAGCAGCCGCAAACGGGCCCGGUUCCCUGAGCUGCUAGGGCGGCUUGGAGAGCUGGAGGGAUGCUAGCCACGCUCCUGUCACUGCGGCACGAGCUGGCUGCGCUUGUCAGAGGCAGGAAGCGGGAUUAGGCUGCAUUAAAGGACGUGGCG
RNAcentral lists this long non-coding RNA (1166 nucleotides) under Crocodylus porosus (Australian saltwater crocodile). RNAcentral's name for it is "lncRNA (ENSCPRG00005012918.1)". Lineage: Eukaryota; Metazoa; Chordata; Crocodylia; Crocodylidae. The record is from RNAcentral.